RNAcentral lists this ribosomal RNA (468 nucleotides) under uncultured bacterium. RNAcentral's name for it is "partial 16S ribosomal RNA". It matches the Rfam family "Bacterial small subunit ribosomal RNA", at positions 28 to 507 of the family's 1533-position model. The record is from RNAcentral.
GACGAACGCUGGCGGCGUGCUUAACACAUGCAAGUCGAACGGAAAGGCCCUGCUUUUGUGGGGUGCUCGAGUGGCGAACGGGUGAGUAACACGUGAGUAACCUGCCCUUGACUUUGGGAUAACUUCAGGAAACUGGGGCUAAUACCGGAUAGGAGCUCCUGCUGCAUGGUGGGGGUUGGAAAGUUUCGGCGGUUGGGGAUGGACUCGCGGCUUAUCAGCUUGUUGGUGGGGUAGUGGCUUACCAAGGCUUUGACGGGUAGCCGGCCUGAGAGGGUGACCGGCCACAUUGGGACUAAGAUACGGACCAGACUGCUACGGGAGGCAGCAGUGGGGAGUAUUGCACAAUGGGCGGAAGCCUGAUGCAGCAACGCCGCGUGCGGGAUGACGGCCUUCGGGUUGUAAACCGCUUUCGCCUGUGACGAAGCGUGAGUGACGGUAAUGGGUAAAGAAGCACCGGCUAACUACGUG